UAUUUUAAUUUAUUAUAUAAUUUAAAUAUAAAUAAAAAUAUUAUUAAAAAUUGAAAAAUUUAAAUAAUUUUUAAUUUUAUCUUUAAUGUUUAUAAUAAUAAUUUUAAAUGAAAAUUUAAUAUAGAAAAUUAUAUUUAUUAUUAAUAAAUUAUAGUGCCAGCAAUUGCGGUUAUACUAUAGAUAAAAGUAAAUUUUAUAUAAUUAAUUAAUAUUUAAGUAUUAAAUUAUUUUAAAUUAAAAAAAAUAAUUUUUUAUGGUGAAAUAUAAAAAUUAAUAUAUUUUAUAAAAUUAUGUAUUAUUUAAAUUAUUUAAAUUUUUUUAAUUAACUAGGAUUAGAUACCCUAUUAUUAUUAUAUAAAAAUUAAUUUAAUUAAAUAUUAAAUGUGUUGAUCAUUAAAAAUAAAAAAUUUGGCGGUAUUUUAUUUAAUUAAAGGAAUUUGUUAAUUAAUUUGAUAGUCCACGAAUGGAUUUACUUAAUUAUUGUUUUAUGUAUUGUUGUUGUUAAAUUAUAUUAUUAGAUAUUAAUUUAAAUAUUUUAGUUAAAUAUUAAUUCAAAUCAAAAUGUAGAAUAAUUAAGGUUUUAAUGAAUUACAAUUAAUUUUAUUAAUGGAAAUUAAAUUUUAAUAUUUAAUUUAAAUUGGAUUUAAAUGUAAUUUUAUAAAAAUAUAUAAAUUGAAUUUUAUUUAAAUUAUGUACAAAUUGCCCGUCAUUUUCAUUUCAACUGUGAAAAAAGUCGUAACAAAGUAAGUGUACUGGAAAGUGUAUUUAGAUUUUA
RNAcentral lists this non-coding RNA (775 nucleotides) under Acropyga acutiventris. Lineage: Eukaryota; Metazoa; Arthropoda; Insecta; Hymenoptera; Formicidae. The record is from RNAcentral.